AGAUUGAACGCUAGCGGGAUGCUUUACACAUGCAAGUCGAACGGCAGCGCGGACUUCGGUCUGGCGGCGAGUGGCGAACGGGUGAGUAAUAUAUCGGAACGUGCCCAGUAGCGGGGGAUAACUACGCGAAAGCGUGGCUAAUACCGCAUACGCCCUACGGGGGAAAGGGGGGAU
This 174-nucleotide ribosomal RNA is filed under the name uncultured soil bacterium. RNAcentral's name for it is "partial 16S ribosomal RNA". It matches the Rfam family "Bacterial small subunit ribosomal RNA", at positions 26 to 213 of the family's 1533-position model. The record is from RNAcentral.